UGGGGAAUUUUGGACAAUGGACGCAAGUCUGAUCCAGCCAUGCCGCGUGCGGGAAGAAGGCCUUCGGGUUGUAAACCGCUUUUGUCAGGGAAGAAACGAGUUUCUCUAAUACAGAGACUUAAUGACGGUACCUGAAGAAUAAGCACCGGCUAACUUCGUGCCAGCAGCCGCGGUAAUACGAAGGGUGCAAGCGUUACUCGGAAUUACUGGGCGUAAAGCGUGCGUAGGUGGUGGUUUAAGUCUGCUGUGAAAGCCCUGGGCUCAACCUGGGAAUUGCAGUGGAUACUGGAUCACUAGAGUGUGGUAGAGGGAUGCGGAAUUUCUGGUGUAGCAGUGAAAUGCGUAGAUAUGCGGAGGAACACCGAUGGCGAAGGCAAUCCCCUGGACCUGUACUGACGCUCAUGCACGAAAGCGUGGGGAGCAAACA
RNAcentral lists this ribosomal RNA (427 nucleotides) under uncultured bacterium. Its description in RNAcentral is "bacterial SSU rRNA". It matches the Rfam family "Bacterial small subunit ribosomal RNA", at positions 355 to 774 of the family's 1533-position model. The record is from RNAcentral.